UUUUGAUCUAUAGACGAAUUAAGUCACAGCAACACGGUCAUACUGUGUUUUCCAAGCUGCAUGACAUCAUCAAAUAACUGCUUAGAAACAACGUAUUUAUCGAUUCAUUUAACUCCACAAGAUCCCUGUGAGGGACAUUUCAUCAUAGCCGUUUUACAGAUGAGGAAACGGGCCGAGAGGCAGGCACGGGACCGUCCGGCACAAGCCAUCCUUGCCACCUUCCGUGAAAUCGGACUGGAGCACAAAACUGCCCAGGUAGAGGCCACCUUGUCUCAGCACUCCCCCGACACCUCCCUCCUGAGAUGAGGCGUGGCCCUGUCCACACCAGGUUUCCAAGGGAAAAAGAGCCAAGCGAUGGGGGUAACGGUCACCUCACUUGUUUGGCAACGGCUCGUCCCGGACUCGGUCCCUUUCCCCUUCUCCCCGUGACCCGGCAUGUGGACGUGCCAUAACUCACUUUCAAUCAUGAAAGCCAGGACAACACCCAGAGGCUGCCCCACGCCCUGGACUGCUCACCUCAGUCCCUCCUCUCUUCUCUAAUUCAUGGUAAGCAGCCUAGCUUUGGUCGUGGUGCGCCAAGGUCGCCCAGCGCGGUGGUGGACGGGCCCGGCGGUAGACUCCAGGUUCUAAUACAUCACUCUAUGUGCCAGGCCCUGUCUCCAGGUACCAGGGUUGAAGCAAUGAACGAGACCACCAAGGAUGCCCACCCAAAGGUGGAUCUCUUAAAAACGUCCAUCCUGUCAUCACCCCCUGCUCCAAGCCCUCCACGGCUUCCCACGGCCAUCAGGAUAAAGGCCACUCUGCUCUCUGUGGCUUUCAAAGUCGUACACAGUGAGGCCCCUGCAGCCUUCAAUGUCACCUGUGUCCUUUCCUGCACUCACUCCCCGGGACACUGCCUGCCUGUGACCCUCAAGCAGGACAAACUCUCUGCUGCCUCAGGGCCAUUGCACAUGCUGUCCCCUCUGUCUACAGCACUCUUCUGGAUCUGAAGCCACCUCUCCAGAAAAGCCUUCUCCAAUCAAUGCCCCAUGGAAGCCUUCGGAUCUGAACUCGAAUACGCACUGCUUCGGGAAGCCCUCCCCGGCCCUCGCUCUAGCUCUGGGCGCCUGCAGCUCUGUCGGCUUCCCCCAUCCCAGCCCUGACCGCUCUGGGUUCUCACGCUCCGCCUUCCUCUGCGCUUCCUCUCUGCUGAGUCUUCUGCAGUGCCCGGGACCCGUAAAGAUGAGGAAACUGAGGCUCAGGGAGGUGAUGCUGCUUGCCCAGGGUCUCACAAGCUGGGAAACGGCAGAGCAGGGAGUGAGGGUCCCAGACUACAAUCCCAGGAGCCAGGAGCCUAACCCUGUGCUCGUUGCCAGCCUGACAGCGAACGCUGCCACCCCAUCACCACCACUGCCACCAUUUCCAGAAGCACUGGCACUGGGACAGGCGCUCCCGGUACC
This is a long non-coding RNA of Prionailurus viverrinus (fishing cat), 1439 nucleotides long. RefSeq lists it as uncharacterized. The record is from RefSeq and is a predicted model, not a curated record. NCBI's taxonomy places the organism in Eukaryota, Metazoa, Chordata, Mammalia, Carnivora, Felidae. The transcript has 4 exons.